RNAcentral lists this ribosomal RNA (452 nucleotides) under uncultured Clostridium sp. Its description in RNAcentral is "bacterial SSU rRNA". It matches the Rfam family "Bacterial small subunit ribosomal RNA", at positions 8 to 461 of the family's 1533-position model. Lineage: Bacteria; Bacillati; Bacillota; Clostridia; Eubacteriales; Clostridiaceae. The record is from RNAcentral.
AGAGUUUGAUCCUGGCUCAGGACGAACGCUGGCGGCGUGCCUAACACAUGCAAGUCGAGCGAUGAAAUCCUUCGGGAUGGAUUAGCGGCGGACGGGUGAGUAACACGUGGGUAACCUGCCUCAAAGAGGGGAAUAGCCUUCCGAAAGGAAGAUUAAUACCGCAUAAUAUGUUUUGGUCGCAUGACUAGAACAUCAAAGGAGCAAUCCGCUUUGAGAUGGACCCGCGGCGCAUUAGCUAGUUGGUGAGGUAACGGCUCACCAAGGCGACGAUGCGUAGCCGACCUGAGAGGGUGAUCGGCCACAUUGGAACUGAGACACGGUCCAGACUCCUACGGGAGGCAGCAGUGGGGAAUAUUGCGCAAUGGGGGAAACCCUGACGCAGCAACGCCGCGUGAAUGAUGAAGGCCUUCGGGUUGUAAAGUUCUGUCUUCUGGGACGAUAAUGACGUACCA